GAUGAACGCUGGCGGCGUGCCUAAUACAUGCAAGUCGAGCGAACAGACGAGGAGCUUGCUCCUCUGACGUUAGCGGCGGACGGGUGAGUAACACGUGGAUAACCUACCUAUAAGACUGGGAUAACUUCGGGAAACCGGAGCUAAUACCGGAUAAUAUAUUGAACCGCAUGGUUCAAUAGUGAAAGACGGCUCUGCUGUCACUUAUAGAUGACCUUGCGGUGCAUUAGUUAGUUGGUGGGGUAACGGCCUACCAAGACGAUGAUGCAUAGCCGACCUGAGAGGGUGAUCGGCCACAUUGGGACUGAGACACGGCCCAAACUCCUACGGGAGGCAGCAGUAGGGAAUCUUCCGCAAUGAGCGAAAGCCUGACGGAGCAAUGCCGCGUGAGUGAAGAAGGCCUUCGGGUCGUAAAACUCUGUUAUAAGAGAAGAACAAAUUGUAGAGUAACUGCUACAGUCUUGACGGUAUCUUAUCAGAAAGCCACGGCUAACUACGUGCCAGCCGCCGCCGUAA
Molecule: ribosomal RNA, 513 nt
Filed under: uncultured bacterium
Lineage: Bacteria
Description: partial 16S ribosomal RNA
Rfam family: Bacterial small subunit ribosomal RNA
Source: RNAcentral